AUACGGAGGAUCCGAGCGUUAUCCGGAUUUAUUAGGUUUAAAGGGUGCGCAGGCGGAACUGUAAGUCACCGGUGAAAUCCUACAGCUUAACUGUAGAACUGCCGGUGAUACUGCGAUUCUUGAGUAUAGUUGAGGUAGGCGGAAUGUGUAGUGUAGCGGUGAAAUGCAUAGAUAUUACACAGAACACCGAUUGCGAAGGCAGCUUACUAAACUAUUACUGACGCUCAUGCACGAAAGCGUGGGGAGCGAACAGGAUUAGAUACCCCUGUAGUCC
This 274-nucleotide ribosomal RNA is filed under the name uncultured bacterium. RNAcentral describes it as "partial 16S ribosomal RNA". It matches the Rfam family "Bacterial small subunit ribosomal RNA", at positions 523 to 796 of the family's 1533-position model. The record is from RNAcentral.